GCUUACGGCCACACCACCCUGAACACGCCCGAUCUCGUCCGAUCUCGGAGCUAAGCAGGGUCGGCCUGUUAGUACUUGGAUGGAGACCGCCUGGGAAUACCAGGUGCUGUAAGUU
Molecule: ribosomal RNA, 115 nt
Filed under: Oryzias javanicus (javanese ricefish)
Lineage: Eukaryota; Metazoa; Chordata; Actinopteri; Beloniformes; Adrianichthyidae
Source: RNAcentral